RNAcentral lists this ribosomal RNA (504 nucleotides) under uncultured bacterium. Its description in RNAcentral is "partial 16S ribosomal RNA". It matches the Rfam family "Bacterial small subunit ribosomal RNA", at positions 30 to 523 of the family's 1533-position model. The record is from RNAcentral.
AUUGAACGCUGGCGGCAGGCCUAACACACGCAAGUCGAACGGUAGCACAGAGAGCUUGCUCUCGGGUGACGAGUGGCGGACGGGUGAGUAAUGUCUGGGAAACUGCCCGAUGGAGGGGGAUAACUACUGGAAACGGUAGCUAAUACCGCAUAACGUCGCUAGACCAAAGUGUGGGACCUUCGGGCCUCACACCAUCGGAUGUGCCCAGAUGGGAUUAGCUAGUAGGUGGGGUAAUGGCUCACCUAGGCGACGAUCCCUAGCUGGUCUGAGAGGAUGACCAGCCACACUGGAACUGAGACACGGUCCAGACUCCUACGGGAGGCAGCAGUGGGGAAUAUUGCACAAUGGGCGCAAGCCUGAUGCAGCCAUGCCGCGUGUAUGAAGAAGGCCUUCGGGUUGUAAAGUACUUUCAGCGGGGAGGAAGGCGGUGAAGUUAAUAACUUCACCGAUUGACGUUACCCGCAGAAGAAGCACCGGCUAACUCCGUGCCAGCAGCCGCGGUAA